RNAcentral lists this unclassified non-coding RNA (2490 nucleotides) under Hevea brasiliensis (rubber tree). Lineage: Eukaryota; Viridiplantae; Streptophyta; Magnoliopsida; Malpighiales; Euphorbiaceae. The record is from RNAcentral.
UUUAUAUCUGUUUCCAAAGCCACAAAUUUUUUCAGAGCCGACUGUGAGGGUUCCUAAUUUUCCCUCAUUUUCUCUCUGCCCAAAUUUCCUCUGCUGUUUGGAUCUUCAUAUCAAUCAGGUAAAUAUUUAUAUCCUAUUGCCGCUUGCUUUAUUUUCCACUUGUUCCCCUAGAAAAGUUUGGUUAAUUGAUUUUUUUGUAGCCGUCUCUGGCCGUUUAUGUUUGCAUCUCUUCCAUGCUUAUCUUUUUUAAUAGCACUAAAAGGCUAUUUGCUGCAAAGAAGAUGAGUUUUCGGCAAGCUAUUCUAAACUUUGUUUGGACAAACAUCUUGAAGACGAUAAGAUAAGAAUUAAGGUUGUGAUUUUUUUUGGGUCUGAGUUGGAAUUUUGAAAUAUUAUAGUUGCAGCAAUUAUUGAUGACUUGGUUGCUGCAAAAUACUUCUUGCUGUAGGUUGGAUGAUUAUUAAAUAGGCUAAACACUAUGGUAAUUAUAGCAAUUUGCUUCAUUAAAUAUGUAUUGGAUUUGAAAAUAUUUUGCAGCUGGAAUUGUGCCCUUCACUCUUCUUAUCUCAGAACUUGUUGUCUUGGAAAUGCUACAUAAGUAAUUGUUACUUGCAUAAUUUCAAGAAGAAAGACCCCAAUACGUGCAGUUAGCUAUGUGCUUUGCUUUGUGUUUGGUACUAAUGGGUUAGGUUGCUUGUUUUCUUUCUUUUCUCCUUAAGUGCAUCAUAUUGCUUUGUGUUCUGUCCAAAAAUAUUUAUUAUUAUCGUUAUUAUUCUGUCUUAUUUUCACCAGCCAUGGCUGAGGAAGCAGGCAUGUUUGUAAUUCGCCAAACCAUUGGAAGUGUUUUAUGUUGUAAAUGUGGCGUACCAAUACAACCAAAUGCUGCCAAUAUGUGUGUUAAGUGUUUGCGUUCAGAAGUAGACAUCACUGAAGGUUUGCAGAAGCAUGUAAUCAUUAGACAUUGCCCUGAAUGUGAUAGCUACUUGCAACCACCAAGCACUUGGAUUAAGGCCCAAUUAGAAUCCAAGGAGCUGUUGACUUACUGUAUAAAAAGACUGAAUUUGAAAGAAGUUAGGAUGGUACAUGCAGAAUUUGUUUGGACUGAGCCACACUCCAAGAGGAUCAAGGUCAGGCUGAGGGUUCAAAAAGAGGUUCUUAAUGGAGCAAUACUUGAACAAGCAUAUGUUGUUGAAUAUGUUCAGCAAGAAUCCAUGUGUGAAUCUUGCUCAAGGAUUCAGGCCAACCCUGAUCAGUGGGUUGCUUCUGUCCAAGUCCGGCAGCAUGUUCCUCACAGGCGAACUUUCUUUUAUUUGGAACAGCUAAUUUUGAAGCAUGAUGCUGCAGUCCGCGCAAUUAAGAUCAAGCAGAUGGAACAAGGUAUUGAUUUUUUCUUUGCAAAUCGAAGUCAUGGGGUGAAAUUUGUUGAAUUUGUGGGUAAAGUUGCUCCAGUGAGGAGUCGCCAUGACAAGCAACUUGUCUCUCAUGAUCCUAAGAGCAACAACUAUAAUUACAAAUAUACUUUCUCUGUUGAAAUCUCCCCAAUUUGCCGUGAAGAUUUGAUCUGCCUGCCUCCAAAAGUUGCAGUAAGUUUGGGGAAUCUUGGUCCCCUUGUAAUCUGCACAAGAGUGACAAACAGCAUUGCUCUACUGGAUCCUUUUAGUCUUAGACAGUGCUACUUGGAUGCUGAUCAGUAUUGGAGGGCAUCCUUUAAGUCUCUACUCACUAGCCGGCAACUUGUGGAGUAUAUCGUAUUGGAUGUUGAAAUUAUUUCUCCUGAAGUUAAUAUUGGUGGCUCAAGGUAUGCUUUAGCAGAGGUCCAAGUUGCCCGUCUGUCAGACUUUGGGAAGAAUGAUACUAUUUUCUUUAUAAAAACACAUUUGGGCCAUAUUUUGAAACCUGGUGAUCAGGCCCUUGGUUAUGACCUAUAUGGCGCUAACAGCAAUGAUAUUGAGCUGGACAAGUAUAAAGGGCUGGUCCUCCCUGAAGCAAUUUUGAUAAAGAAGAGCUAUGAGGAGAAACGCCAGAGAAAACGUGGGAAGCCUCGCACCUGGAAGCUCAAGUCACUGAACAUGGAAGUUGAUGACUCAAGAGGUAGACACGACCAGGAAAAGGCGAACGUGGAAUAUGAAGAGUUCUUGAGGGAUCUGGAAGAGAACCCAGAGUUGAGGUUCAAUAUAUCAUUGUAUCGUAAUAAAGAAUAUCAGCCUUCAGAGAUGGCAUCCGUGACUGAUGGGGAUGAUUUACCUUCUGUUCCAUUGGAAGAGUUGCUUGCUGAUCUUGAUAUAAGCGAUAUGGAAGAUGGGGAUUAUGACAUGAGGGAAUGAGUGUUGGUUAUUUUAAUUUUUGCUUGAAAUGAUCCUUAAUUGAGUGGCUUUGUAUUAUUUUCUAUGCUUUUCUUUUAAGCUUUACAUCAAAAGUUCUCUCAACAAAUGAUGCUUGCAGAACGAUUUGUUUCAUUUUAUUGUUAUGUCGCUUAUGAUCAGAUCCAGC